CAAUAGCGUAUAUUUAAGUUGCUGCAGUUAAAAAGCUCGUAGUUGGAUUUCGGGUGGGAAUGGCCGGUCCGCCGUUUCGGUGUGCACUUGCUACGCCCACCUUGCUGCCGGGGACGUGCUCUUGAGUUCACGCUCGGGACACGGAGUCGGCGAGGUUACUUUGAGUAAAUUAGAGUGUUCAAAGCAGGCCUACGCUCUGAAUACAUUAGCAUGGAAUAAUAAGAUAGGACUUUGGUACUAUUUUGUUGGUUUGCAUACCAAAGUAAUGAUUAACAGGAACAGUUGUGGAUAUUCGUAUGAGCAUGUCAGAGGUGAAAUUCUUGGAUUUUGGUCAGACGAACUACUGCGAAAGCAUUUAUCAAGGAUGUUUUCAUUAA
This 377-nucleotide ribosomal RNA is filed under the name uncultured eukaryote. Its description in RNAcentral is "partial 18S ribosomal RNA". It matches the Rfam family "Eukaryotic small subunit ribosomal RNA", at positions 592 to 976 of the family's 1831-position model. The record is from RNAcentral.